ACCAUCACGACCAUCACCACCAUCAUCAUCAUCAUCACCACUACUAACAUCAUCAUAACCAGCAGCAACUUCAUCAUCAUCAUCAUCAUUAUCAUCAUCCUCAUCCUCAUCAUUAUCAUCAUCAUCAUCAUCAUCAUCAUCAUCAUCGUCAUCAUCAUCAUCAUCAUCAUCAUCAUCAUCACCACCACCACCACCACCACCAUCACCACCACCACCAUCUUCAUCAUCACCAUCAUCAUCAUCACCACUACUUACAUCAUCAUCAUCAGCAGCAACUUCAUCAUCAUCAUCAUCCUCAUCAUCAUCAUCAACAUCAUCAUGAAGGUGUUAUUUUAACUGUCGAAUAUAUCGCAAUUGUUUUACAUGAAUAAUUUCACUGUUUGUUUAUAUCCUCAACAAGAUGUAGUGAUUUGUGAUGACGUGGUGACGUUAUUCAUGUAUCGAGUAGAAAUGAUUUGGGCAGAGCCAGAUGGCCAGCCUCUGUAAACUGUAAAAUUCAGUGUGUGUGUUUAUUCUAUGACUCGUAAUAGGGUAUACAUGGGACGUUUAGUAAAUACAAAACAAUAUUGAUUCAAUUGAAACUACAUGUAUUUGGCCAUAUCCUGGGAAAAAUACAUUUAAGAAUGUACCCCCUUUGAAUCCUAUAUCGAUGAUGUAGAACUACACUUGGAGACUGUUCCAACGCUACACUUUUCAAACUUGAAUAUCUCAGUAAUGAGUCAAGAUUUUGAUUUUAAAUAUUGUAUGUGUGAUCAUUUGACUACAUGCUGUGCAAGCUCACGAUAAAAUCAUUCAUCCGUGACGAUGGGACACUUAAGCACGUGGGGUUUUAAGCACGUGGUUACCCGAUCAUCUUGUCCGUUGAAAUCAUGGGUUUUGGAAUAGAAGCCGAGUUUGAGACCGUAUUCAUUGGUCGAACAGAUGAGCGUCGAAAUUUACAAACAUCAUGGAACACUAAGUGAAUGUUUGGAAUUUACGGGCUGAGAACUGUUGGUACUUCAAGGUUAGCGAAGGAGUACCUAAUAAGUGUCAUAACACAGUAUUAUGAAUUGGUGUAUGUUAAUUUUAAAGAGAUAAGUGACAUUACACAGAUGUACGUCAAUAUGUGCGCGCAAUUGAAACUUGUUAUUGAAUCACAAAUGAACAACAGCGCAGUUUCACCCAGUAAACAAGAAUAUGUAUUAUUUGUUGACAAUGGGGAAUAUUUCCUUGACAAAGAAAGUGCAAUAAGAGACCGUCUUCAAAACGUAUGCGUUGAACUUAUAAAAUUGGACAAUGUCAAAGUUGUACUGACUUCAACCACAACGUUUCAUCUGGUAUAUUUACGGCAUGUUUACAAUUUGUGUGAACUUCAUCCAUUAAAACCAUCUGAGUUGUUGAGAGCAGAUGCCCCUGGCGUCGAUUAAGGCGAAUAUUUGGACGCAGUUGUAGAAUUCAGUGAAGGGUUACCACUUCUGAUUCUCAUGAUCGCGUCUGAGCUGCGCGAGAACAGAGGUAUGCUUACGCUAAAGACAUGACGCAGUUGCUAGCGGAAUGCAGAGUGCCGAUAUUGAGUCGAGAGUUCUACCCGGAGGAGGACAGAGUGUUUAUCUCGAGAAGUCCUUGGCUAUAUCGACUGUCUCCGGGAAGCAAUGCAGACGUAUUGCUAAAGAAUCGCUGAUCAGUUAAGGAAUCACACUAGCGAAGUUAGG
Molecule: long non-coding RNA, 1691 nt
Organism: Dreissena polymorpha
Lineage: Eukaryota; Metazoa; Mollusca; Bivalvia; Myida; Dreissenidae
Exons: 3
Source: RefSeq, a predicted model, not a curated record